Molecule: microRNA precursor, 58 nt
Filed under: Cordylochernes scorpioides
Lineage: Eukaryota; Metazoa; Arthropoda; Arachnida; Pseudoscorpiones; Chernetidae
Source: RNAcentral
CCGUAUCAACUACCUGUCCAGGCUUGUGUUGAGAUCUGGACGGAGACUUGAUAUGGAC